Molecule: ribosomal RNA, 253 nt
Filed under: uncultured bacterium
Lineage: Bacteria
Description: partial 16S ribosomal RNA
Rfam family: Bacterial small subunit ribosomal RNA
Source: RNAcentral
UACGAAGGGGGCGAGCGUUGUCCGGAUUUACUGGGCGUAAAGGGCGUGCAGGCGGUUUGUUAAGUGCAGGGUGAAAGCUCCCGGCUCAACUGGGAGAGGUCCUUGCAUACUGGCGAACUCGAGGGAGGCAGAGGAAAGUGGAAUUCCCGGUGUAGUGGUGAUAUGCGUAGAUAUCGGGAGGAACACCUGUGGCGAAGGCGGCUUUCUGGGCCUUACCUGACGCUGAGACGCGAAAGCGUGGGGAGCGAACAGG